GAUGAAGAACGCAGCGAAAUGCGAUAAGUAGUGUGAAUUGCAGAAUUCAGUGAAUCAUCGAAUCUUUGAACGCACAUUGCGCCCCUUGGUAUUCCAUGGGGCAUGCCUGUUCGAGCGUCAUUUGUACCUUCAAGCUUUGCUUGGUGUUGGGUGUUUGUCCAUUCUCUUGCAGAGGGACUCGCCUUAAAGUAAUUGGCAGCCAGUGUUUUGGUUUUGAAGCGCAGCACAAGUCGCGAUUCAACGCUAUACGCCAGCUUCCACAAGCCUUUUUCACUUUUGACCUCGGAUCAGGUAGGGAUACCCGCUGAACUUAAGCAUAUAAUAAGCGGAGGA
This 333-nucleotide unclassified non-coding RNA is filed under the name soil metagenome. RNAcentral describes it as "partial contains 5.8S ribosomal RNA, internal transcribed spacer 2, and large subunit ribosomal RNA". The stretch from base 1 to 120 matches the Rfam family "5.8S ribosomal RNA", at positions 35 to 154 of the family's 154-position model. The record is from RNAcentral.